Harmonia axyridis is the source of this 1099-nucleotide long non-coding RNA. RefSeq lists it as uncharacterized. Lineage: Eukaryota; Metazoa; Arthropoda; Insecta; Coleoptera; Coccinellidae. The record is from RefSeq and is a predicted model, not a curated record. The transcript has 3 exons.
UCAACUAUAUAUAGUAGAGUUUCACUAAUCUAGCACUAUUAAAAACUUGCAGGGGAGGGGGUUGUAUGGUAGGUUGCCUAAUUAUUGGAAUGUUUGGAUUACUGGAAUAUAUAAAAAGAGGGAGAAUACAACAUCCUUCAAGUUCAAUUCUAUGAGAUACUGCUUUACGACUCCACUCUGAGGAAUAAUAUAAAAACGCAACUAGUUGAAAUGGAAGGGUUCCAUUUAUUUCUAUUUUCUGUUACAAAUUGGUGUGACUCUUUCAGUAUUCAGUUCAUUUCUAUGAGAGCUUCCUGAUCUGCUUGGUAAACGUGGCAGCGAGGAGAAAUCGUUUUGCUUUACCAAGUCUCAUUAAAAACGUGCAGUAGCCACAGUUUACAGAGUAACAGAUGACAUUUCAUUGAGAAAUUGACGGAAAAAGAUAUUCACAAGUUUUAAUCCAAGAAAUUGCAAAGUAUCCUGUUUCAUAUAAUUAUAAAUAAGCCUAAUACUUUAGAAAUUACGUCACUGAGGGAAUAUGGAGUGAUAUAUCAAAUAAAAUACAAAUGACAGUACCAAACACAUCGAUCCCGUACCACUACUAAAACCGAUAAAUCAGUAAAAGAUCUCUCCAAUUUGGAUAAUUAAUCACAGAAAUAUAUUCGCUACAAAUCUUCUAAGGUUUUUACACAGCCGCCUUUAUUAGAUAACCUGGACAGCCUGAUUGAGAAAUUCAGUUGAAUAAGUUUUUCCUAAAGAUGAAGAGCUGAAGCCUCUAUGGAUAAAAGCAAUCCCAAGAAUAAAUGUCAUUUCUACCCCUCUUAGCUCAUUUUGAGAAAAACCUUUUUAGAGAAAAUGAUAUAAUUAAGGAUGAUAAACAUUUGAAAUCGGAUGGACCUAUCCAAAUUUCAUCAUUGAAAUAUAAAUUAUUUGAACUUCAUCUUUGUAGCAUUGAAUUGGACUUCUCUUAUUCAGAAUUUACAGAAAAUUGCAGUUGUGGUUUGAAUGGUAAAUCAAUUUUAAAUUUACUUUGUUCUGUUUUCGCGAAUUUACUAUUAAAAAAUUAAGCAAAAAAUAAAAGUAAUAAUGUAAAGAUAUACAAAUAGAAUAGAAAACUUUU